GCGGGAGUAAAAGAUGUCUGCCGUGCCUUCGGGCAGGGAGGAAAGUCCGGACACCUUGGGCAAGGAUACUUCCUAACGGGAAGCUGCAGCAAUGCAGAGCUUAGCUCCACAGAAACAAACCGCGCUCUUUAUGAGAACGUAAGGGUGAAAUGGUGGUGUAAGAGACCACCGGUGCCAUUGGUGACAGUGGCAGCCAGGAAUGCCUUAUCCGGUGCAAUGCCAAAUAGGGAAGCAAUGGCGAGCCCACGCCGCUUCCGGGUAGGCAGCUAAAGCCAAGGCGCGAGUUUUGGCGUAGAGGAAUAGACAUCACUCCUUCUUUUGAGGGAGCACAGAAUCCGGCUUAUUGAGCUCCCGCAGAA
RNAcentral lists this RNase P RNA (359 nucleotides) under Candidatus Cloacimonadota bacterium. Its description in RNAcentral is "RNase P RNA component class A". It matches the Rfam family "Bacterial RNase P class A". From Rfam's summary of the family: Ribonuclease P (RNase P) is a ubiquitous endoribonuclease, found in archaea, bacteria and eukarya as well as chloroplasts and mitochondria. Its best characterised activity is the generation of mature 5'-ends of tRNAs by cleaving the 5'-leader elements of precursor-tRNAs. Lineage: Bacteria; Pseudomonadati; Candidatus Cloacimonadota. The record is from RNAcentral. RNAcentral also lists the same sequence under 1 other name.